GAUGAAGAACGCAGCGAAAUGCGAUAACUAAUGUGAAUUGCAGAAUUCCGUGAAUCAUCGAGUCUUUGAACGCACAAUGCGCCCCCUGGUAUUCCGGGGGGCAUGCCUGUCCGAGCGUCAUUGCUGCCCAUCAAGCACGGCUUGUGUGUUGGGUCCCGUCCCCCUCUCCCGGGGGACGGACCCGAAAGGCAGCGGCGGCACCGCGUCCGGUCCUCGAGCGUAUGGGGCUUUGUCACCCGCUCUUGUAGGCCCGGCCGGCGCUUGCCGACACCCAACCAUUUUUUUCAGGUUGACCUCGGAUCAGGUAGGGAUACCCGCUGAACUUAAGCAUAUCAAUAAGCGGAGGA
This 347-nucleotide unclassified non-coding RNA is filed under the name soil metagenome. RNAcentral describes it as "partial contains 5.8S ribosomal RNA, internal transcribed spacer 2, and large subunit ribosomal RNA". The stretch from base 1 to 120 matches the Rfam family "5.8S ribosomal RNA", at positions 35 to 154 of the family's 154-position model. The record is from RNAcentral.